Molecule: ribosomal RNA, 427 nt
Filed under: uncultured bacterium
Lineage: Bacteria
Description: bacterial SSU rRNA
Rfam family: Bacterial small subunit ribosomal RNA
Source: RNAcentral
GGCUUCGGCCUGGUGGCGAGUGGCGAACGGGUGAGUAAUACAUCGGAACGUACCCAGAAGUGGGGGAUAACGUAGCGAAAGUUACGCUUAAUACCGCAUACGUUCUACGGAAGAAAGUGGGGGAUCGCAAGACCUCAUGCUUUUGGAGCGGCCGAUGUCUGAUUAGCUAGUUGGUGAGGUAAAGGCUCACCAAGGCGACGAUCAGUAGCUGGUCUGAGAGGACGACCAGCCACACUGGAACUGAGACACGGUCCAGACUCCUACGGGAGGCAGCAGUGGGGAAUUUUGGACAAUGGGCGCAAGCCUGAUCCAGCAAUGCCGCGUGAGUGAAGAAGGCCUUCGGGUUGUAAAGCUCUUUUGUCAGGGAAGAAACGGCAGGGGCUAAUAUCCUUUGCUAAUGACGGUACCUGAAGAAUAAGCACCGGCU